AAUAUUGGUCAAUGGACGCAAGUCUGAACCAGCCAUGCCGCGUGAAGGAUGAAGGUCCUCUGGAUUGUAAACUUCUUUUAUCUGGGACGAAAACGGGAUUUUUAUCUCAAUUGACGGUACCAGAGGAAUAAGCACCGGCUAACUCCGUGCCAGCAGCCGCGGUAAUACGGAGGAUGCGAGCGUUAUCCGGAAUUAUUGGGUUUAAAGGGUGCGGAGGCGGACUAAUAAGUCAGUGGUGAAAGCCUGCAGCUUAACUGCAGAAUUGCCAUUGAUACUGUUAGUCUUGAGUACAGUUGAUGUAGGCGGAAUGUGUCAUGUAGCGGUGAAAUGCUUAGAUAUGACACAGAACACCGAUUGCGAAGGCAGCUUGCUAAGCUGUAACUGACGCUGAGGCACGAAAGCGUGGGGAGCAAAC
Molecule: ribosomal RNA, 415 nt
Filed under: uncultured bacterium
Lineage: Bacteria
Description: bacterial SSU rRNA
Rfam family: Bacterial small subunit ribosomal RNA
Source: RNAcentral